This 3162-nucleotide long non-coding RNA is filed under the name Ananas comosus (pineapple). Its description in RNAcentral is "long non-coding RNA (ACOM_LNC038982)". The record is from RNAcentral. Lineage: Eukaryota; Viridiplantae; Streptophyta; Magnoliopsida; Poales; Bromeliaceae.
AUCGAUGUCAACGUUCACAAGAACCAAAAUCGGAACAACAUUAGACUACUCAGUUGCGCCCUAAGUGUAUAACUUUGCAACGAGUACUUUUUCUCAUUCUAUCGAACGAAGAGUAAAAGCUAAUUAUACUAUUCUAUUUUUCCCCGAGAGUGUAAAUUUGGAACGAAUCGACGUCAACGUUCACAGGAACCAAAACCGAAACAAUAUUAGAAUACUCAGUUGCGCCAUAACAGUAUAACUUUGCAACGAGUACUUUUUCUCAUUCAAUCGAACAACAGUUAAACCUAAAUAUAUUGUUCUAUUAUGCCCCGAGAGUGUAAAUUUCGAAUGAAUCGAUGUCAACAUUCACAAGAACCAAAGCCGGAACAACACUAGACUACUUAGUUGCGCCCUAACAGUAUAACUUUGCAACGAGUACUUUUUCUCAUUCAAUCGAACAAAGAGUAAAACCUAAUUAUCUUAUUCUAUUUUGCCUUGAGAGGGUAAAUUUCGAACGAACCGAUGUCAACGUUCACAAGAACCAAAAUCGGAACAACAUUAGACCACUCAGUUGCGCCAUAACAGUAUAACUUUGCAGCGAGUACUUUUUCUCAUUCAAUGGAACAAAGUGUAAAACUAAAUUAUAUUAUUCUAUUAAGCCCCGAGAGUGUAAAGUUGCAACGAAUCGAUGUUAACAUUCACAAGAACCAAAACCGGAACAACAUUAGACUCCUCACUUGCGCCCUAACAGUACAAAUUUGCAACGAGUACUUUUUCUCAUUCUAUCGAACAAAGAGUAAAAUCAAAUUGUAUUGUUCUAUUAUGUCCCGAGAGUGUAAAUUUGGAACGAAUCGAUGUCAACGUUCACAAGAACCAAAACCGGAACGACAUUAGACUACUAAGUUGCGCACUAACAGUAUAACUUUGCAACGAGUACUUUUUCUCAUUUAAUCGAACAAACAGUUAAAUAAAGAGUAAAACCUAAUUAUCUUGUUCUAUUUUGCCUCGAGAGAGUAAAUUUCGAACGAAUCAAUGUCAACGUUCACAAGAACCAAAAUCGGAACAACAUUAGGCAACUCAGUUGCGCCAUAACAGUAUAACUUUGCAACGAGUACUUUUUCUCAUUCAAUCGAACAAAGAGUAAAACAUAAUUAUAUUAUUCUAUUCUGCCCCAAGAGCGUACAUUUGCAACGAUUCGAUGUCAACGUUCACAAGAACCAAAGCCGGAACAACAUUAGACUACUCACUUGCGCCCAGCGCCCUAGCAGUAUAACUUUGCAUCGAGUACUUUUUCUCAUUCUAUCGAACAAAGCGUAAAACCUAAUUAUAUUGUUCUAUUAUGGGUAAAUUUUGAACGAAUCGAUACCAAUAUUCACAGAACCAAAACCGGAACAACAUUAGACCUCUCAGUUGCGCCCUAACAGUAUAACUAUGCAACGAGUACAUUUUCUCAUUUAACCGAACAAAGUGGAAAACCUAAUUAUAUUGUUCUAUUAAGCCCCAAGAGUGUAAAGAUGGACGAAUCGAUGUCAACGUUCACAAGAACCCAAAUCGGAACAAUAUUAAGCCCCGCGACCAACCGCCAAUUUGGACCGGGUCGCGGCGCCGCCGACAGACCGCCGAACGGACCGGGAAUUCCCCUGUACGUGGACAGAGUCUCCCCAGUACGUCCAAGGCGUCGCAAUCCAAACAAUCAACGAAUGUUCUAACAAGGAACGGAUAUCAAUCCAGAUUGCAUAAGGAAGUAUCAAAUACAUAAUCUACUUGCUAUUACAAGUAGAUUUAUUUCACAACCACGUUUUACAUCACAGUUUCAGUUUACAUUUUUACUUCCGAAUUACAAUCUCACUAUUACAUCAGAGUUUACGAGUUUGAUACAUUUCUUUUCUUGUCUUCUAGACCCCUAAGCUAGACUGUCUCAGGGUACUGCUACCUCGGUCUCUUUGGUAGGGCGCUAUCUACUGAGCUACGCCCUCGCCUCGCACCGCCGCGUGGCACACGAACGACCUGAAAACCCCAAAACAACGUGGGGUGAGAACCAACUCCAUGGUUCCCAAUGGAUACGGCCACCCAAGGGAAAAGCUCGACCGAUAGGUCCGAGGAGGCACUGCAACAUGUUAGCUCAACAAUAUACAACAAAUAUAUAUAUUCAAUUGAAAUACAUGCCCUGCCUCACAAUAUGCGAUAUGAAAAUCAUGCAAUAACUAAUACAUCAUUUGAAUUCUACUUUUACUUGGCUACUUUAGCUCAUAAUUUUGCAACGAGUACUUUUUCUCAUUCAAUCGAACAAAGAGUAAAACCUAAUUAUCUUGUUCUAUUUUGCCUCGAGAGGGUAAAUUUCGAACGAAUCGAUGUCAACGUUCACAAGAACCAAAAUCGGAACAACAUUAGGCAACUCAGUUGCGCCAUAACAGUAUAACUUUGCAACGAGUACUUUUUCUCAUUCAAUCGAACAAACCGUUAAACCUAAUUAUAUUGUUCUAUUAUGCCCCGAGAGUGUAAAUUUCGAAUGAAUCGAUGUCAACGUUCACAACAACCAAAGCCGGAACAACAUUAGACUUUUCAGUUGAGCCCUAACAGUAUAACUUUGCAACGAGUACUUUUUCUCAUUCAAUCGAACAAAGAGUAAAACCUUAUUAUCUCAUACUAUUUUGCCUCGAGAGGGUAAAUUUCGAACGAAUCGAAGUCAACGUUCACAGGAACCAAAACCGGAACAAUAUUAGAAUACUCAGUUGCGCCCUAACAGUAUAACUUUGCAACGAGUACUUUUUCUCAUUCAAUCGAACAAACAGUUAAACCUAAUUACAUUGUUCUAUUAUGCCCCGAGUGUGUAAAUUUCGAAUGAAUCGAUGUCAACGUUCACAAUAACCAAAGCGGGAACAACAUUAGACUACUUAGUUGCGCCCUAACAGUAUAACUUUGCAACGAGUACUUUUUCUCAUUCAAUCGAACAAAGAGUAAAAGCUAAUUAUCUUGUUCUAUUUUGCUUCGAGAAGGUAAAUUUCAAGCGAAUCGAUGUCAACGUUCACAAGAACCAAAGCCGGAACAACAUUAGACUACUCACUUGCGCCCUAACAGUAUAACUUUGCAUCGAGUACUUUUUCUCAUUCAAUCGAACAAAGAGUAAAACCUAAUUAUCUUAUUCUAUUUUGCUUCGAGAGGGUAAAUUUCGAACGAAUCGAU